GGGCGCUUAGCUCAGUUGGUAGAGCGCCACCCUUACAAGGUGGAUGUCAUUGGUUCGAGUCCAGUAGCGCCCACCA
Molecule: transfer RNA, 76 nt
Filed under: Helicobacteraceae bacterium
Lineage: Bacteria; Pseudomonadati; Campylobacterota; Epsilonproteobacteria; Campylobacterales; Helicobacteraceae
Description: tRNA-Val
Rfam family: tRNA
About the family: Transfer RNA (tRNA) molecules are approximately 80 nucleotides in length.
Source: RNAcentral